UCAGUCAAAUCUGUGGUAGGCCUAGAGAUAAGUCCUGUUCAAGCCCCAUCUCCAGCACAAGAAAACCUGUGUAGCCCUUCCUUUUGUGGCCAGAGCUGCAAAACAGCCCCACAGCCAGAGCACUCGCACAAGGAGCCAUUAGACAAGACAGACAUUGGGAAAAGCUAUAAAUAGUAAAUAACCUGCCUGCAAAAAUACCUUGAAUCAUUAGAAAUGGGUGGUUUGUGAGUUUCCUUGGAAUCAGUUACUGCCUUUAUGUUUUCAUAGUGUUCUGCUAGAAGUGCUAUUGUCUAACUAUUGUUUGACAGAGGUAAACAUGAGUAACCUGGCUCGCUUCUUACACUUGAGAAACUGAAAAAAGCUGAGUAAGUCCUGAGGUUUUCAUAUCUACCCAGCUGAAGCUGGGGGAAAUUAAUUGUUUCAUAUUGAACUGAGGCAAAAUAUGUCUUAGUGAUAUUUUAAGCAAAGCAAUUUAAUCAUUUUGGGGUCAAAACUGUCUUCUUUGGGGUUAUUAAAUCACUCAACCUGGUUUUCUUUAAAAAGAGAUGCUUGAAUCAAUGAUAUGCAUCCAUUAGCUGAAUCCAAACUAUUAUAAAAACUCUCCUUUUAGAAGGAAUAUUAUUUGUGAAAGGAUGACGACUGCCAGCUUGUUUUGCAGUACUCCUGAGCUGGACAAAAUGUAAAAAUAAGAAGGCUGAUCAGACCACAAUACUUUUAGUCCUUUGCAGGGAACUCUACCUGAUGCUAUUCAAUUCGGAAUGACUCCUAAAGGAAGAUUUAACUGUUUCUUGUAGAGAAAUUAAAUUUCUGAUGUUAUUUUUAAAUGGUUGGAAACUCAGAACUGAGGCUUGCAAGUAACAUAAAGUAUGUUU
RNAcentral lists this long non-coding RNA (872 nucleotides) under Anser brachyrhynchus (Pink-footed goose). Its description in RNAcentral is "lncRNA (ENSABRG00000004703.1)". The record is from RNAcentral. Lineage: Eukaryota; Metazoa; Chordata; Aves; Anseriformes; Anatidae.